Non-coding RNA from Vicia faba (fava bean), 300 nucleotides. NCBI's taxonomy places the organism in Eukaryota, Viridiplantae, Streptophyta, Magnoliopsida, Fabales, Fabaceae. The record is from the annotation of a GenBank genome assembly.
AUGAACCAAAAUCCCAACUUUCGAACAUGUGUCAUUAAUUCAUGCCUUUUCAACUUUCUAAACCCUUAUUCAAUGAUGCGGCGAAAUCAAACAACAAGGGCGAGUCCUCCAAUGUCGAUCGCCAUUGUCGACGUCAUUCUCGUCGAACUAAAGCUACCAGUCCUGCAACACCUAAUUCGUUUCUGGCUAUUGAAUCUGAUGAUGAUCCACGAAGAAAAUUUCUUUCAAAAAGGUAUACAAUUUUUUUCCUUUCUUGAUUCAUUCUUUUUUUUUUGUUAUUUUAUUUUUCGCUCUUUCUAG